UACGUAGGGUCCGAGCGUUGUCCGGAAUUAUUGGGCGUAAAGGGCUCGUAGGCGGUUCGUCACGUCGGGAGUGAAAACUCGGGGCUUAACCCCCGAGCCUGCUUCCGAUACGGGCAGACUAGAGGUAGGCAGGGGAGAGCGGAACUCCUGGUGUAGCGGUGGAAUGCGCAGAUAUCAGGAAGAACACCGGUGGCGGAAGGCGGCUCUCUGGGCCUUACCUGACGCUGAGGAGCGAAAGCGUGGGUAGCGAACAGG
This 255-nucleotide ribosomal RNA is filed under the name uncultured bacterium. Its description in RNAcentral is "partial 16S ribosomal RNA". It matches the Rfam family "Bacterial small subunit ribosomal RNA", at positions 524 to 776 of the family's 1533-position model. The record is from RNAcentral.